Molecule: ribosomal RNA, 1558 nt
Filed under: metagenome
Description: bacterial LSU rRNA
Rfam family: Bacterial large subunit ribosomal RNA
Source: RNAcentral
UGAUCCUAAGGCGAGGCCGAAAGGCGUAGUCGAUGGAAAGCAGGUUAACAUUCCUGCACCGAUGGUUACUGCGAUGGGAUGACGGAGAAGGCUAGCUCAGCGGCAGCAGUGCCGUUCAAGGCCGUAGGGGUUCUCUCCUGGAAAAUCCGGAGAGAAGCUAUCCCCGAGAACCGAGUACGAGGAGGCUUCGGCCUUCGAAGUGAGUGAUGCCACGCUUCCGGGAAAAGUCUCUAAGCUUCAGGUAAUCGUUGUCCGUACCGUAAACCGACACUGGUGGUGAGCAGAUAAUCUGCUAAGGCGCUUGAGAGAACUCGGGUUAAGGAACUCUGCAAAUUGAUACCGUAACUUCGGGAGAAGGUAUGCCUCCCGGUGUGAGGGGAUUUACUCCCUGAGCACUGAGAGGUCACAGGUAAUCGGGGGCUGCGACUGUUUAUCAAAAACACAGGACUCUGCGAACACGAAAGUGGAUGUAUAGGGUCUGACGCCUGCCCGGUGCCGGAAGGUUAAUUGAUGGGGUCAGCCGCAAGGCGAAGCUCCUGAUCGAAGCCCCGGUAAACGGCGGCCGUAACGAUAACGGUCCUAAGGUAGCGAAAUUCCUUGUCGGGUAAGUUCCGACCUGCACGAAUGGCGUAACGCUGGCCCCACUGUCUCGACCCGAGACUCAGUGAAGUUGAAAUCGCUGUGAAGAUGCGGCGUAGCUGCGGAAAGACGGAAAGACCCCGUGAACCUUUACUACAGCUUUACACUGAACUUUGACCUUGUCUGUGUAGGAUAGGUGGGAGCCUUUGAAGCCGGGGCGCUAGCUCUGGUGGAGGCAACGUUGAAAUACCACCCUGAUAAUGUCGGAGUUCUAACCUUGGCCCGUAAUCCGGGCUGGGAACACUGUAUGGUGGGUAGUUUGACUGGGGCGGUCUCCUCCUAAAGAGUAACGGAGGAGUGCAAUGAUACCCUCAGCGCGGUCGGUCAUCGCGCAAUGAGUGCAAUGGCAUAAGGGUGUUUGACUGCGAGACUGACAAGUCGAGCAGGUGCGAAAGCAGGUCAUAGUGAUCCGGUGGUUCUGUAUGGAAGGGCCAUCGCUCAACGGAUAAAAGGUACUCCGGGGAUAACAGGCUUAUUCCUCCCAAGAGUCCACAUCGACGGAGGAGUUUGGCACCUCGAUGUCGGCUCAUCACAUCCUGGGGCUGUAGCAGGUCCCAAGGGUUCGGCUGUUCGCUGAUUAAAGUGGUACGCGAGCUGGGUUCAAAACGUCGUGAGACAGUUUGGUCCCUAUCUUCCGUAGCCGUUGGAGAUUUGAGGGUGAGCUGUCCUUAGUACGAGAGGACCGGGAUGGACGCACCUCUGGUGUUCCGGUUGUCACGCCAGUGGCACUGCCGGGUAGCUAUGUGCGGACGGGAUAACCGCUGAAAGCAUCUAAGCGGGAAGCCCCCCCCAAGAUUAGAUCUCCCUGGGAACUCGAUUCCCCUGAAGGGCCCAAGUAGACGACUUGGUUGAUAGGCUGGGUGUGUAAGGUCAGUAAUGACUUCAGCUAACCAGUACUAAUUGCCCGUGAGGCUUGACC